CAUUAGCGAAUUGUAAUGGGGGUUGAUGCUGGCGGUCGCCGCGUUCGGCUGCAUGUGCUUGCCCCUGACAAUCUCUAUCCAAACACCUGUGCACCUUUUAAGGGUUUCUGAGUCGUGACCGCCAUUCUGUUGGAGGUCCUCCUUAGAUUCCCUUCUUUUUACAUACACUAUUUGUAAUGAUGAACGUGGCUUGGGCCGGACACGGCUCUUAAAAUAUACAACUUUUAACAACGGAUCUCUUGGCUCUCGCAUCGAUGAAGAACGCAGCGAAAUGCGAUAAGUAAUGUGAAUUGCAGAAUUCAGUGAAUCAUCGAAUCUUUGAACGCACCUUGCGCUCCCUGGUAUUCCGGGGAGCACGCCUGUUCGAGUGUCGUGAAGUUCUCAAGCUGGGGAUGCUUUUCAUCUCUUCCAGAGAUGGUGGGCUCCCCGAAGCUCGGUUCAUUGGGCUUUGCCGUGCCCUACCUAUUGGGGCGGCUGGCCUUAAAUACAUUAGCUGGUCCUCAUGUGAGAUUUGGUUCUACUCAGCGUGAUAAUAAUUCUGACCGCUGAGGACAUCGUUCGGGAUGGCCAAAUCUCAUUUGGGUUGCUUCUAAUCUGGUUUGCAGCUCUUUCUGAGCCUGCUCCACUUUCAAUUUUGACCUCGAAUCAGGUGGGACUACCCGCUGAACUUAAGCAUAUCAAUAAGCGGAGGAAAAGAAACUAACAAGGAUUCCCCUAGUAACGGCGAGUGAAGCGGGAAGAGCUCAAAUUUAGAAUCUGGUAGUCUUCGGCUGCCCGAAUUGUAAUCUAGAGAAGCGUUUUCCGCGCUGGACCGUGUACAAGUUUCCUGGAUACGGAACAUCAUAGAGGGUGAGAAUCCCGUCCUUGACACGGACUCCCAGGCUUUUGUGAUGCGCUCUCGACGAGUCGAGUUGUUUGGGAUUGCAGCUCAAAAUGGGAGGUAAAUUCCUUCUAAAGCUAAAUAUUGGCGAGAGACCGAUAGCGAACAAGUACCGUGAGGGAAAGAUGAAAAGCACUUUGGAAAGAGAGUUAAACAGUACGUGAAAUUGUUAAAAGGGAAACGCUUGAAGUCAGUCACGUCUGCUUGGACUCAGCCUCACUUCGGUUUGGUGCAUUUCCUUGCGGAUGGGCCAGCGUCCAUGUUGUUUGUCGGAAAAGGGGUGAGAGAAUGUGGCUCCUUCGGGAGUGUUAUAGCUUUCGCUCGCAUGCGAGAAACGAUAUGGAGUGGUACAGCACGCUUUGUGGUGCUUGUGCUGGCAUAGGCUUUAAACGCCGUCUGAAACCGGACCAAAGGAGUCAACAUGUCUGCGAUGUUGGGUGGAAACCAGCGCAUAAUGAAUGACGCUGGGAACCCGUUUGGG
RNAcentral lists this ribosomal RNA (1361 nucleotides) under uncultured Clavulina. RNAcentral's name for it is "eukaryotic LSU rRNA". The stretch from base 636 to 1361 matches the Rfam family "Eukaryotic large subunit ribosomal RNA", at positions 1 to 753 of the family's 3401-position model. The record is from RNAcentral. Lineage: Eukaryota; Fungi; Basidiomycota; Agaricomycetes; Cantharellales; Hydnaceae.